GACGAACGCUGGCGGCGUGCCUAAUACAUGCAAGUCGAACGCUGAAGCGAGGAGCUUCCUCUUCUUGGGUGAGUUGCGAACGGGUGAGUAACGCGUAGAUAACCUGCCUUGUAGCGGGGGAGAAUUAUGGGAAACGAUAGCUAAUACCGCAUAACAAUGUAUUACACAGUUCAUUUAUGUGAAAUGGGCAAUUUCUCAACUACAAGACGGACUUGCGUUGUGUUAGCUGGUAGGUGAGGUACUGGCGCACCUAGGCGUCGGUACAUAGACGGCAUGAGAGGGCGGGCGGCCGCCCUGGGAGUGGGACACGGCACAGACUGCCACGGGGGGGCGCCGGAGGGAAUCUUCGGCCAUGGGGGCAAAACUGACCGAGCAACGCCGCGGGAGUGAAGAAGGUUGUCGGGUCGUAAAGCUCUGUUGUCAGUCAAGAACGGGUGUGAGAGUGGAAAGUUCACACUGUGACGGUAGCUUACCAGAAAGCGACGGCUAACUACGUG
This 497-nucleotide ribosomal RNA is filed under the name uncultured bacterium. RNAcentral describes it as "partial 16S ribosomal RNA". It matches the Rfam family "Bacterial small subunit ribosomal RNA", at positions 28 to 507 of the family's 1533-position model. The record is from RNAcentral.